CCAUGGCGUCUGGAGAUGUCGUCUUCCCGAUUGAGCGUUCUCCGUCGGCCCUUCUUCGCUUUUGUUUUCCGUUUCUUGAUCGAUUGAUUGUUGAUGGGGGCCGAUUGCUUUGUUUGUCUUGAUUUUGUGAAGCAUCUUCUGGUUGCAGAGAUCCACUUCUAUGUUGCGGGAGAUUCUUGAGGGUUUCGCUUACCCUACGAUUUUUAUUGGCGUCUGGCGAUAUCAUCUUCUUCCGGAGAGAAGACGUGGUUGUAGCGAUGAUCCCGAUUGAACGUUUCUCCAGAUCCCCCUGUUGCGGAGAUUUUUGAGGCUCAUUCUGGAUUCUUGUUGUUCGGUGAAUUGGGAGUGUGGCUUCUUUCUUUCAUAUGAGGAUGCUGUCGCAGCAAGUGUUUGGUUGAGCGCUCCUUUUCUGACCGGUUGAUCUUUCUGUCACGAGCUGUUUCUGGAUUUUGUAAUUUGGUGAAUCCGCAGUGGCUUCUUUCCCCUUAGAGCGAAACUGCUCUUUCUCCUUUUUGGUUUCCAUUUCUUGAUUCAUUGUUAUCUCGGUCUUGAUUUUGUGAGGCGUUAUCUGGUUGCAGAGACCCACCCCUGUUGCGGAGAUUCUUGAGGGUUUCGCGCUUGGCCUACGAUGCCUAUUGGUUAUCGGAAUUAUUCAGUUUACCUCUUGUCCUUUGGUUGCUUAGUGAUUCAUCGACCGAUCGAUUGAACUUUGCGCUGUUGUUUUGACCAGAUCAUUCUGGAUUCUUGUUGUUCGGUGAAUUGGGAGUGUGGCUUCUUUCCUCUUGGAUCAUAUUUCCUGACGUCAGAGGAUGUCCUCAUGGGAAGUGCUUGGUUUAACUCCUCCUUUGACCCUUUAUUGAUACAAUAACCUAUCGAUCUUUCUGUUAUUUGGUGAAUUUGCAGUUGGCUUCUUUCCCCCUCAGGGAGAAAUUGCUUGUCUGAGGAUGUCAAGGACGAUGAAUACUAAAACACGGGUGUUUCGUUUUUUUGGAGCAUUGAUGAUCAUUUUGCUUUCAUCUUUUUGGCUGAGAUGAUGAAAGUAGUCUUUCAUGCGAUAGGCUGAAAUUUGGUGGUCUUGAUUGGAAUUUGUUCUUCGGUUUUCUAUUUUUGGGGGUUGAUUAUCGUCUAGUCCUGAUCCUCUCGCAGGUCGGAGUUUUGCAAGACUUGACAAGUGGUGAUCUGGUGCGAGCUGACGAUUGUCUGAAAUUGGAUAAGCUCUGUCUCUCUAGGCAGUAUUGGUUUGAAUGAAAUUUGUUCUCCACUCCCAUAAUUUUCCAAUUAAUGCGAAACCCGAUUCUCAUUCCUUCGGAGGUCUGUUUUGUCGAUGUAUGAUCUGUCAUGGUUCUUUCUUUGCAAGGUGUAAGCACCACAACAGAUCACUAUCCAAUCCAGAUCCGCUUGCUAAUGUCUCCUUCCUAGAAAUGAUCCCUACCUUCUGUUCUCAUCCUUCAAUCUCAUCGGGAGAUGUCGUUAUGGGAAGUGUUUGGUUUAGCUC
Long non-coding RNA from Eucalyptus grandis, 1495 nucleotides. RefSeq lists it as uncharacterized. NCBI's taxonomy places the organism in Eukaryota, Viridiplantae, Streptophyta, Magnoliopsida, Myrtales, Myrtaceae. The transcript is spliced from 3 exons. The record is from RefSeq and is a predicted model, not a curated record.